GCAUCCUGGGACGUGCGGGCGGUGCAUGAGGGAGAUGUGGUCCGCGUCGAGCUUCUCACGCCUACCUCGGGAAGCGCUGGAAACUCUUCCAGGGCCCUCCAGGUGGGCCAGGGCCUCCGAACAGCCCAGAAGUCCGACCACGGAGCCUUCGUGCCGUGCCCCGCCCCCGGCGUGCACUCGGCGGGGACCGCCUUUUCUCCUCUAGGCUCGCUUCGCUGCCCCCCAGCGGUGGUGCGGCCCGGCCUUGGGACGGACUCCGAGAACCCCGAGCCGGGCCGAAAGUGCGGGGUCCUGACCGCGCCGCAGACGGGGAGCCCUCGCUCGGUCAGAGGAAGAAGAGGGUUAAACCUACCGAGAACGUUCGCUGCCGCUUCCUAGAGUGACGGGCUUGUGGAAUUUUCCGUUUCCGGAGCUGGACCCCGGUGUCCCGAGUGUCCUCCGCUCUGGACGUGCUCGUGAGCUCAGGAGCUGGCAUCUAGGAAACGGGGAGUUCUUCACUCGCAGCGCAGUCGGCCGCGCCAGAAGAGGCGAGGGAGAAUCCGGACGGGGCGGGGCGGCGGGGGAGCGGGACAUUCGCGUCCCGGGGAGCCCCCAGGUCACCCCUGGAUUGCGAGGUGGCUCCGCCUGAGCAGCCCUUCCUGGUGUGGUCGGGGCAGCUGCCCGCCCGGAAAAUGGUCAGGCUCUAGCCCUGGGGAGGAAGAAGCCUUUGCCAAGAGCAACCGUCUACAAGCCCCAAAACCUGCGAGUGCCGGAAAUGUGGACUGACCACAGCCUGCCUCCCCGGCUUCAUUCACCACCAAGGCAGCCCCUCUGGUGACAAGCCUUACCGUUGUCCGGGUUAUGGCAGAAGCUUCCGAUGUGGCUCUGAUCUGGUUAAGCACCACUGGGUACACACCGGUGAAAAGCCGUACUCCUGCCCCGAGUGUGACCAUCGCUUCGGCCCUAUGCCUGUGCCUAGUGUGGUAAGACUUUCAGCGUCAGCUCCAACCUGAUCCAGCACCAGCGCGCUCACACCGCUAAAAGCCUUACCGCUGAGGGGACUGCGGCAAGAGUCUCAGCCUUGGCUCCACCCUGUUGCAGCACCUGCGCUCCACAUGGGUGAGAAGGCCUCUAAGUGCCUUGUUUGUAGUAAGAGUUUUGUGCACAGUUGGAAUCUGCUGCGGCACCAGCACAGUCACAAAGUCCGGAAACCUGAUGCUUGGUGGUGAGUGUGGCCAGACCUUCGGCCACAGCUCCCACCUGCCCAUCCACUAGGCGGCCCACAGCAGCACCCCUGCGUCUGCCUGCAGUGUGGCAGGGCCCUAGCGCAAAGCUCCAACCUGGGCCAGCACCAGCGGACGCACUAGGGCGGCAGCCUCUGCAAAUAGCCCUGGCUUCAAUUUUAGCUGAAACUUCAGCUCUGACUUUGGUUCGGACUUCAAGGAAAUGGAAGGAACCAGGAUCUCUAAGCAGACCCCCUUCUGCUCCCUUAGGGCUGUUGAUUUUAGAGCUAAUGAUGGGAUUCGGUUGGGGCGAGGGGGUCUCCACAUCUUUUUGCCCAACCCUUUGCUAAGUCAAGGAACCCCAGUCUGGGCUGGGCAUGAGCCACCACGCCCGGUAAUUUUGCCAUCUUUUAUCAGGCUUUCUGUGUCGAGGACGCUACCCACAUAGAGUAGAACCUAAAGGGAAGGGAUGUGAAGUGACCUCACCCUCAGCUUCUAGCUCAUGGUGUCAAGGCUUGUGUGAUCUUAGACACGUCUGCCUCUUCUGAGCCUGUUUCUUCAUCUGUAAAACAGGGAUGGGAGGUUGUGGUAAAGAUUCCACAGCAACACUGCACACGCAUGAAGUACCUGGGCCAGGGAUGACUCGGCAGACCUCAGUUUCCCUCUGCCUCCUGCCUAGAGCUGUUAGCAAGCAUCCAUCAUGCGGCUCACACAAGAGCUCCCCCCGGAGGUUACAGAAAUGAAGGCAGCAGCCCCAGUCCUUGGGUAGCCUGUUUCCCCUUGAAGGAAACAGACUCAAUAUCAGCAACACAGAGUGAAUGACGCCAGGGUGGCGAACGGGCCUUUCCUGGAGCAAAUGCGGGAGGCUUCAUGGAGAUGACGUGUAAUGAACAGCACUCAUCUCAGGCUGGGAGCAGCACAUGCCCCCGGCAGGGAGUCAGUGAUGAGGUAUGGGGUUCUUGACAUCUUCCUCACCCAGGACCCUUCAGAGAGUACGAGCCAGGGUUUGAGUGAAGGGCCUGAGCCCAGCACAUGCAUGGUAGGCACUCAAAGAAUAAUUGUCAUGAUCAGGUCCUUUUUACACUGCUUACUAGUGGCCUUUAAGCCUCAGUUUCCUCACAGUUGCCUUGAGUGAGUGUCAAGUGUUGUAGACCUCUGCAAAAUUCAUAACUGCUUAAGAAUAUUAGGUAUGGGUAGAGUAGGCUUGGAAGGAGGAUUGGUUUGCAGAAUCCCUUUCAGAGACCUGUAAUCUAAUUUCUCACAUUAGGGCUAAUACUCCUGGGACCCCUCUCCUCUCCAAUUGCAUAAAACAGGUUCUGACCAGAACAGCGAGGCAGGCCAGACCUCAGAAGCAGAGGGACGGGCUUAAUCUAACAGGAGUUUAUCCCAUGUCCUGCAUCCACUGUACCCUGUGCUGGGUUUAGAAGUAGCUUCACUGUCCAAGCUUGUGACCCAGUGCCCAAGCCCGAGAUGGGAAACACAUUUGUUUUGGCUGUGUGUGUGUGUGUGUGUGUGUGUGUGUGUGUGUGUGUGUGUUUUCAAACAAGCCAAGAUUUUUACUUUUUGAGUUCCAUUUUGUUGCCCAGGCUGGUCUCUGAAACUUCCAGGCUCAAGCAAUCCCCCUGCCUCAGCCUCCCAAAAUGCUGGAAUUACAGGUGUGAGCUACCAUGCCCAUUUAUUUAUUUAUUUAUUUAUUUAUUUAUUUUUGAGACAGAAUCUCACUCUGUCAUCCAGGCUGGAGUGCAGUGGUGCAAUUGUGGCUCACUGUAGCCUCAACCUCCUGGGCUCAAGUGAUCCUCCCACCUUAACCUCCCAAGGAGCUGGGACUACAGGCAUACACCACCACACCUGGCUAAUUUUUUGAUUUUUAAAAAAUGUUUUGUAGAGACGGGGUCUCACUGUGUUGCCCAGGCUGGUCUUGAACUCCUGAGUUCAAGUGUUCCUCUGGUCUCAGCCUCCCAAAAUGCUGGGAUUACAGAUGUGAGCCACCUAACCUGGUCUUUUUAUUUUUUUAAAGAGCCAACAUUUAAAUAAGGAGAUUUCACAUCACAGUCGAUUUCUGGGGCUUGGUUUGUUGUUGUUUUUUUUGUUUUUUUUUUUUUUUAAUUGAGACAGGAUCUUGCCAGGUUGCAGACUGGUCUUGAACUCCUAGGCUCAAAUGAUCCCCUCCUGGCCGGGCACGGUGGCUCACGCCUGUAAUCCCAGCACUUUGGGAGGCCUAGGUGGGCGGAUCACGAGGUCAGGAGAUCGAGACCUUCCUGGCUAACAAGGUGAAAUCCUGUCUCUACUAAAAAUACAAAAAAUUAGCUGGAAAUGGUGGCAGGCGCCUAUAGUUCCAGCUACUCAAGAGGCUGAGGCAAGAGAAUGGCAUGAACCCAGGAGGCAGAGCUUGCAGUGGGCGGAGAUCCUGUCACUGCAAUCCAGCCUGGGUGACAGAGCAAGACUCCGUUUCAAAAAAAAAAAGAAAAGAUCCCCUGCCCCGGCCCUUCCCUCCCCCACCCACCUCGGCUUCCGAAAGUGGUAGGAUUACAGGCGUCAGUCACCACACCCGGCCUGCUUUAUUAUUUAUAUCAGAAGAUGCUGCAACAUUGGAUUUUUAUGGCAGCAGUUCGUUGAGUAGUGGCUGUCCUGGACAUAGGAACAGGGACACUCCCUCUUGCAUCCCUGACUCAGCACGUUUCAUAUGUGUUACUUGCCUGUCCCCUGCAGAAAAGUACUUGAGGUUACAGUCUCCAUCCCACCCCACUGUGGGUGAGAAGGACCUUUCCAUGCAGUGAAGGCACUUUUCCCCUUUCCUUCACCCCUUCCUGUUCCCUUCUCUGCCGUUUUCCUUCUUCUCCCCCAGAACUCCUCUGUGAAAUACCUGGCCUCCUUCCCUGAGCCUCCCUGUCUCCCUGCCACCCCAUCUCCACUCCGUGCUAUGACAUCACCCCGUAAUUUGAAGCUCCUUUCCCUAUCUGAAGGGAGGCAGAGACAGAGUGCACAGGCUCAACUAGGCAAGGCAGACCCUUGCAUGCCUGGGUCAGAGGUCAGGGUCUCUGGCACACAUUCCUCCCAGAGCAACUGUAGGAAGCAAGCCAGUACAGAGGUACUCUAAGCGCUAGACAGGACGGGGUGGGAGUCGGUAACAUCGUCUCCUCUGGGCUGGCCCUGCUUCUGCUUAGCUCUGGGCAUAAGACUGACUCCAGUACAGUCACAGUUAUGUCUCUGAGCUCACCCAGUCCUGGGUUCCAGGUUCCCAGCUCUGAGCCUGGCGAGACACACACAGGCUGGUGCUG
This 4480-nucleotide long non-coding RNA is filed under the name Homo sapiens (human). RNAcentral's name for it is "non-protein coding lnc-ZNF843-2:8". The record is from RNAcentral. Lineage: Eukaryota; Metazoa; Chordata; Mammalia; Primates; Hominidae.